CCCUUAGAUGUUCUGGGCCGCACGCGUGCUACACUGAGUGGAUCAGCGGGUCAGGUUGCGCGAAAGCGUUUCCUAAUCUUUAAAUCCGCUCGUGAUGGGGAUUGACGGUUGCAAUUUUCUGUCAUGAACGAGGAAUACCUUGUAAGCGCGGGUCAUCAUCCCUCGCUGAAUACGUCCCUGCCCUUUGUACACACCGCCCGUCGCUCCUACCGAUUGAGUGGUCCGGUGAGGCUUUGGGAUCUGAGCGGAAAGAGCGUUUCGCUGUUUCUGCUCGGAAAACUCAGUCGAACCUUAUCAUUUAGAGGAAGGAGAAGUCGUAACA
RNAcentral lists this ribosomal RNA (322 nucleotides) under uncultured eukaryote. Its description in RNAcentral is "partial 18S ribosomal RNA". It matches the Rfam family "Eukaryotic small subunit ribosomal RNA", at positions 1470 to 1796 of the family's 1831-position model. The record is from RNAcentral.